AUGGCUGAACCAACUGGUCUUGCCGAGGCUUUGGAGAAGCUCGCUAAGAUCCUCGCGGAGUCAAACUCUGGGGCCAUCGUUCCUCGACAGGAAGUGGCUCACAAGCUUGAAAUGUCGCCCCUGGACAUGAAGCUAGAGGGGGCAACAAAUUAUUUGAGCUGGUCCAGGAGGGCUUUGUGGGCUGUGGAGCAGAAGGAGCUUGAUGGAUAUUUGUUGGGCACCGUCGUAGAACCAAGGGACAAGAGUAGUGCAGAGGGCAAGAGGUGGAAGGUCAUCCACUCUGUACUUAUGGUGUGGUUGUUGAACUCCGUGGUGCCCUCCAUUCGACGCUCUGUGGAGUGGCUAUCCUCACCUGCUGAGAUAUGGAAGAUUCUGUCCACUCAAUACUCUGGCAAGGGCAAUGUCAUGCUCAUUGCUCAGAUUGAGGACAAGAUUAGGUUGCUGCGCCAAGAUGAUGGCAUGUCAGUGAUGACAUACGUGGCAAAACUGCAGGCUCUGUGGGCUGACCAGGAUAACUGCGAUCCCCUGGAACUCUAUGAUGCGGCUUCAAUUGAGUCAGGGCAUAAGUGGAUGGCACGCAGGCGUGUGCUAAAUUUUUUGACUGGCCUCAAAGGUUGCUUUGAUGGCACGAAGGCUUCCAUGUUGCACUAA
RNAcentral lists this ribosomal RNA (651 nucleotides) under Triticum aestivum (bread wheat). RNAcentral describes it as "partial small subunit ribosomal RNA". The record is from RNAcentral. Lineage: Eukaryota; Viridiplantae; Streptophyta; Magnoliopsida; Poales; Poaceae.